Molecule: ribosomal RNA, 423 nt
Filed under: uncultured bacterium
Lineage: Bacteria
Description: SSU rRNA
Rfam family: Bacterial small subunit ribosomal RNA
Source: RNAcentral
CAAUGGGCGAAGCCUGAAUGCAGCGACGCCGCGUGAGCGAAGAAGUAUUUCGGUAUGUAAAGCUCUAUCAGCAGGGNAAGAUAAUGACGGUACCUGACUAAGAAGCCCCGGCUAACUACGUGCCAGCAGCCGCGGUAAUACGUANGGGGCAAGCGUUAUCCGGAUUUACUGGGUGUAAAGGGAGCGUAGACGGUGUGGCAAGUCUGAUGUGAAAGGCAUGGGCUCAACCUGUGGACUGCAUUGGAAACUGUCAUACUUGAGUGCCGGAGAGGUAAGCGGAAUUCCUAGUGUAGCGGUGAAAUGCGUAGAUAUUAGGAGGAACACCAGUGGCGAAGGCGGCUUACUGGACGGUAACUGACGUUGAGGCUCGAAAGCGUGGGGAGCAAACAGGAUUAGAUACCCUGGUAGUCCAAGGGCGAAUUC